UGGGGAAUUUUGGACAAUGGGCGGAAGCCUGAUCCAGCAAUGCCGCGUGUGUGAAGAAGGCCUUCGGGUUGUAAAGCACUUUUGUCCGGAAAGAAAUCCUUGGCUCUAAUACAGUCGGGGGAUGACGGUACCGGAAGAAUAAGCACCGGCUAACUACGUGCCAGCAGCCGCGGUAAUACGUAGGGUGCAAGCGUUAAUCGGAAUUACUGGGCGUAAAGCGUGCGCAGGCGGUUUGCUAAGACCGAUGUGAAAUCCCCGGGCUCAACCUGGGAACUGCAUUGGUGACUGGCAGGCUAGAGUAUGGCAGAGGGGGGUAGAAUUCCACGUGUAGCAGUGAAAUGCGUAGAGAUGUGGAGGAAUACCGAUGGCGAAGGCAGCCCCCUGGGCCAAUACUGACGCUCAUGCACGAAAGCGUGGGGAGCAAACAGGAUUAGAUACCCUGGUAGUCCACGCCCUAAACGAUGUCAACUAGUUGUUGGGGAUUCAUUCCUUAGUAACGUAGCUAACGCGUGAAGUUGACCGCCUGGGGAGUACGGUCGCAAGAUUAAAACUCAAAUGAAUUGACGGGGUCAUA
This 574-nucleotide ribosomal RNA is filed under the name uncultured bacterium. Its description in RNAcentral is "partial 16S ribosomal RNA". It matches the Rfam family "Bacterial small subunit ribosomal RNA", at positions 355 to 923 of the family's 1533-position model. The record is from RNAcentral.